UUGAAGAAGGAGAGGUGAGAAGAAGGAGGAGAGUGAAGGAAGAGAGUGGAAGAAAGGAGAAGCGAACAACUCGUCGUCGUCGCCAUUUAGUUUCUUCUUCUUCUUCUG
RNAcentral lists this small RNA (108 nucleotides) under Arabidopsis thaliana (thale cress). Its description in RNAcentral is "ATSL151180". The record is from RNAcentral. Lineage: Eukaryota; Viridiplantae; Streptophyta; Magnoliopsida; Brassicales; Brassicaceae.